Molecule: ribosomal RNA, 408 nt
Filed under: uncultured rumen bacterium
Lineage: Bacteria
Description: bacterial SSU rRNA
Rfam family: Bacterial small subunit ribosomal RNA
Source: RNAcentral
GUGGGGAAUAUUGGGCAAUGGGCGAAAGCCUGACCCAGCAACGCCGCGUGAGGGAAGAAGGUCUUCGGAUUGUAAACCUCUGUCCUUGGUGACGAAGGAAGUGACGGUAGCCAAGGAGGAAGCCCCGGCUAACUACGUGCCAGCAGCCGCGGUAAUACGUAGGGGGCGAGCGUUGUCCGGAAUUACUGGGCGUAAAGGGUGCGUAGGCGGUACUUUAAGUUGGAUGUGAAAUACCCGGGCUUAACUUGGGGGGUGCAUCCAAUACUGGAGAACUAGAGUGCAGGAGAGGGAAGCGGAAUUCCUAGUGUAGCGGUGAAAUGCGUAGAUAUUAGGAGGAACACCAGUGGCGAAGGCGGCUUUCUGGACUGUAACUGACGCUGAGGCACGAAAGCGUGGGGAGCAAACAGG